This 173-nucleotide long non-coding RNA is filed under the name Coturnix japonica (Japanese quail). RNAcentral describes it as "lncRNA (ENSCJPG00005012670.1)". Lineage: Eukaryota; Metazoa; Chordata; Aves; Galliformes; Phasianidae. The record is from RNAcentral.
AGCAGACACAUUCAGUGGGCUAGAAGAAACCUCAUUUGGUUCUUGAUGUUCCUGAUGAAAUCUGAAGGGGAUGUUCUAAUGGAUGCCUAAAUACUUGAGGAAAAAGCCACACUGAAAAGAAUAUGGGAAGUCUUGGUUAUUUAUUGUAAGUAUUAUUUCUUGGUUAGUCAGAU